Long non-coding RNA from Apis dorsata (giant honeybee), 2204 nucleotides. RefSeq lists it as uncharacterized. The transcript has 3 exons. The record is from RefSeq and is a predicted model, not a curated record. NCBI's taxonomy places the organism in Eukaryota, Metazoa, Arthropoda, Insecta, Hymenoptera, Apidae.
UUUAAAUUAUAGUUCUUUUUCUACUGUGCAGUAUACGAUGUCAACAAAGUGUCUAAAGUGGGGAUAAACGGUCCUAGCGAAGAACCCCUCUUGCCCCUGUGCGUCCUUCUUUUCACCAGUGAACAGUAGGUACUUAUAUACUCUGGCGUGAAGUGUCAUUCGUAAAUUCAAUCCGCAAAAUGCUACAUGUAUCAUUUACAAUUGUUCGUGAAUCUGAAGGACGUAAAUACGAAAUUAGAAAACCUGUCUUUCUUACCAGUGAAUGUCGAAUGGUGAUGAAAUUGAGCGAUAAGUGAAUCAAAGGAAGCAGAAAAGGAGGAAGAUAGAAUUCGCCAUGUUACGAGAAAUUUAAUACUCGAGAGAGAGUUUUUUGGAUGUUGCCUUCGAUCCAAUUGUGGAUCCUCGCUUCGGUGAAAACUUUGAACGAUAGGUUACGUUCUGCUCGUGUAUACAUAUUCGUCCUCCGCGGUUGACCGUUUAUCGAUCGGGUGUACAACGUGCGCGCGCGCGCGUGUGUGUAACGAUAUUUAAUUUCGCUACAAUUUGCAAACGACGCAACACCGAUCGCAACAAUAAUUCUCGAGGAAAGAACGCGUCGCCGGAAUUCCCGUUCAACUUCUCUCUUCGUAAUUGCUUACGAUAGUCGCCGUGCUCUUUACUCGAGCACCUCCGUUCGAUUUUCACUUCUAUCGUUUCCGCCUUCGAUCGUCCUUUCUUAUGCCCCAUUUCGUUCCCCCUCGGUUUUCCACCAAUUUACCGUUCUCUCGAUCCGUGUCCAAUAUUGUUCCGUGGCUAUGAUAGAAACAUCAAACAUUUUUCUUUCUAUUUCCCUCAAUUCGAGAACAAUAAUUCCGAAUAAUUUCUUAUAUAAAAGACUUAACAAACAUGAAUACAGUUCUGGAAACUUGAUCUUAAGAGAGCUCGAAACGACAAAGAUUUCUUAAGUAUCGUCAUUACCUAUUGAAAAAGCAACUAGUUAAAAAUAAUGAUCGAAUAAAAUCACUUCGAUUAAUUACUUAUUAAAAUGCUUAAAUAACAUUUAUUAUUUGUAACUUUUCAUAUAAUCUUGACCAUCUUUUGCUAUUAUUUGCGAUUAUUAUUAUUUUAAACGAUAAAUUAUCGAAAUAAUUCAACUAUUAAAUUUUCUCCGUUAUUGGAUAUCCACUAUAUUCCGAUGUAAAGAUAUACAUCGUCUCAUCGCUAGUGUUUCACCGGAUAAGUUUCCAACAGUCUCUUUAUUGAUGCACUCCUUUCGAAACGAUAGUAUUCGAAUGGAAAAUUCGUUCGUUGGUUUCAUCGAUAACCGAUCGAAAGCGGCCCCUCGUACGUUACUAAUAUAUUCCCCGAUCUUUUCCUCGAUUAAUCGACCAAACAUCUUGCGCAUUAAGAAUGCUCUCGUGCUCGGUCCAUCGAUUGUGGGAAGAAAUUUCAAUCGGAAAACGUGACAAGCAUUAAUGAUCGUUCAACCGUCCCCUCUUGUCUUUUGCCCCACGUUUUUAUCCGCCUUAUUUUCGAUUAGAUGUCGUUAACGAAAACUUAUCUCCUAUUCCGACCCGCGUAUAACCCCAUCAAAACAUACGAGAAACUGCAACUUUUCGAAAUUCCUAAUUCCAUAAACUGGAAUUAGGAAGGUAACGAGGAAAAAUGGUAUCGAAAGAUUAACGGAUAAAAAUUGUUUAAAACUUUUAAAUUCGAUUACUCGCGCGUCGAUACAACCCGCAUAUUUUUCACCUGCACGAGAAUCAUCUAUCAUCGAGUUUUUUCACCUCGAGAAUUAUCACGAGUUGGAAACAAAAUAUCGAACGUCGAACUCAUCGAUCGAUGGAACAAAGAAGUAAGGAACGAUUCGCCGCGCGUACCAACGUAUUUUAGGAAGCGACAACGUGACUUGCUCUCUGUCGGUGGGGAACAGGAAACGAGGGGAAAAAGCAGGGAAAGCAAUUUUCCCUGGAAAGACGGUGACGUCCGAAAAAAAAAAAAAACAAGUUUUUGAUUCGCAUUUAUAACAGUUUUGCAGGCAAAACUCAACUCUCGACGUCAACCAUGCCAACAGAAUUAAUUACUUUACCCAACUAAUUACACACCAUCGAUCGUUCCUUUGUUUCCCGUUUCCUUCGCCGAAUAGGUCGCGCGUGACUUCUAUUUCACCUUCGACGAAUAAAAAAGUGAAUGUAAACAAACAAGUUUCGCUUCGAAAUCGGUCA